GGGGUGGUGCGGUCCGCCGGUCUGACCGCCUGGUUGUGGUCCAGGCGGUCGCGGGUUCAAGUCCCGUCGCUCACCCUA
RNAcentral lists this transfer RNA (78 nucleotides) under Conexibacter arvalis. RNAcentral describes it as "tRNA-His". Lineage: Bacteria; Bacillati; Actinomycetota; Thermoleophilia; Solirubrobacterales; Conexibacteraceae. The record is from RNAcentral.